CAAUAGCGUAUAUUUAAGUUGCUGCAGUUAAAAAGCUCGUAGUUGGAUUUCGGGUGGGAAUGGCCGGUCCGCCGUUUCGGUGUGCACUUGCUACGCCCACCUUGCUGCCGGGGACGUGCUCUUGAGUUCACGCUCGGGACACGGAGUCGGCGAGGUUACUUUGAGUAAAUUAGAGUGUUCAAAGCAGGCCUACGCUCUGAAUACAUUAGCAUGGAAUAACACGAUAGGACUCUGGCCUAUCUUGUUGGUCUGUAGGACCGGAGUAAUGAUUAAGAGGGACAGUCGGGGGCAUUCGUAUUUCAUUGUCAGAGGUGAAAUUCUUGGAUUUAUGAAAGCCGAACUACUGCGAAAGCAUUUGCCAAGGAUGUUUUCAUUAA
Molecule: ribosomal RNA, 377 nt
Filed under: uncultured eukaryote
Lineage: Eukaryota
Description: partial 18S ribosomal RNA
Rfam family: Eukaryotic small subunit ribosomal RNA
Source: RNAcentral